This 1372-nucleotide ribosomal RNA is filed under the name uncultured bacterium. RNAcentral describes it as "bacterial SSU rRNA". It matches the Rfam family "Bacterial small subunit ribosomal RNA", at positions 28 to 1381 of the family's 1533-position model. The record is from RNAcentral.
GAUGAACGCUGGCGGCGUGCCUAAUACAUGCAAGUCGAGCGAACGGACGAGAAGCUUGCUUUUCUGAUGUUAGCGGCGGACGGGUGAGUAACACGUGGAUAACCUACCUAUAAGACUGGGAUAACUUCGGGAAACCGGAGCUAAUACCGGAUAAUAUUUUGAACCGCAUGGUUCAAAAGUGAAAGACGGUCUUGCUGUCACUUAUAGAUGGAUCCGCGCUGCAUUAGCUAGUUGGUAAGGUAACGGCUUACCAAGGCAACGAUGCAUAGCCGACCUGAGAGGGUGAUCGGCCACACUGGAACUGAGACACGGUCCAGACUCCUACGGGAGGCAGCAGUAGGGAAUCUUCCGCAAUGGGCGAAAGCCUGACGGAGCAACGCCGCGUGAGUGAUGAAGGUCUUCGGAUCGUAAAACUCUGUUAUUAGGGAAGAACAUAUGUGUAAGUAACUGUGCACAUCUUGACGGUACCUAAUCAGAAAGCCACGGCUAACUACGUGCCAGCAGCCGCGGUAAUACGUAGGUGGCAAGCGUUAUCCGGAAUUAUUGGGCGUAAAGCGCGCGUAGGCGGUUUUUUAAGUCUGAUGUGAAAGCCCACGGCUCAACCGUGGAGGGUCAUUGGAAACUGGAAAACUUGAGUGCAGAAGAGGAAAGUGGAAUUCCAUGUGUAGCGGUGAAAUGCGCAGAGAUAUGGAGGAACACCAGUGGCGAAGGCGACUUUCUGGUCUGUAACUGACGCUGAUGUGCGAAAGCGUGGGGAUCAAACAGGAUUAGAUACCCUGGUAGUCCACGCCGUAAACGAUGAGUGCUAAGUGUUAGGGGGUUUCCGCCCCUUAGUGCUGCAGCUAACGCAUUGAGCACUCCGCCUGGGGAGUACGACCGCAAGGUUGAAACUCAAAGGAAUUGACGGGGACCCGCACAAGCGGUGGAGCAUGUGGUUUAAUUCGAAGCAACGCGAAGAACCUUACCAAAUCCUGACAUCCUUUGACAACUCUAGAGAUAGAGCCUUCCCCUUCGGGGGACAAAGUGACAGGUGGUGCAUGGUUGUCGUCAGCUCGUGUCGUGAGAUGUUGGGUUAAGUCCCGCAACGAGCGCAACCCUUAAGCUUAGUUGCCAUCAUUAAGUUGGGCACUCUAAGUUGACUGCCGGUGACAAACCGGAGGAAGGUGGGGAUGACGUCAAAUCAUCAUGCCCCUUAUGAUUUGGGCUACACACGUGCUACAAUGGACAAUACAAAGGGCAGCGAAACCGCGAGGUCAAGCAAAUCCCAUAAAGUUGUUCUCAGUUCGGAUUGUAGUCUGCAACUCGACUACAUGAAGCUGGAAUCGCUAGUAAUCGUAGAUCAGCAUGCUACGGUGAAUACGUUCCCGGGUCU